Molecule: ribosomal RNA, 491 nt
Filed under: uncultured bacterium
Lineage: Bacteria
Description: partial 16S ribosomal RNA
Rfam family: Bacterial small subunit ribosomal RNA
Source: RNAcentral
AGUGAACGCUGGCGGUAGGCCUAACACAUGCAAGUCGAACGGCAGCACAGUAAGAGCUUGCUCUUACGGGUGGCGAGUGGCGGACGGAUGAGGAAUACAUCGGAAUCUACUUUUUCGUGGGGGAUAACGUAGGGAAACUUACGCUAAUACCGCAUACGACCUACGGGUGAAAGCAGGGGAUCUUCGGACCUUGCGCGAUUGAAUGAGCCGAUGUCGGAUUAGCUAGUUGGCGGGGUAAAGGCCCACCAAGGCGACGAUCCGUAGCUGGUCUGAGAGGAUGAUCAGCCACACUGGAACUGAGACACGGUCCAGACUCCUACGGGAGGCAGCAGUGGGGAAUAUUGGACAAUGGGCGCAAGCCUGAUCCAGCCAUACCGCGUGGGUGAAGAAGGCCUGCGGGUUGUAAAGCCCUUUUGUUGGGAAAGAAAAGCAGCAGGUUAAUACCCCGCUGUUCUGACGGUACCCAAAGAAUAAGCACCGGCUAACUUCGU